Molecule: long non-coding RNA, 333 nt
Organism: Carassius carassius (crucian carp)
Lineage: Eukaryota; Metazoa; Chordata; Actinopteri; Cypriniformes; Cyprinidae
Exons: 2
Source: RefSeq, a predicted model, not a curated record
GACAAGGACAGGGUCAGGGACAGGGCCAGGGAAGCGGUCAGGGACAAGGUCAGGGACAAGGUCAGGGACAGGGCCAGGCAAGCGGUCAGGGACAGGGCCAGGGAAGCGGUCAGGGACAGGGACAGGGCCAGGGCCAGGGAAGCGGUUAGGGGAGAAGUCAAGAGAAUAGCCAGGGAUGUGGUCAUUGAAGUGGACAUGGGACUUUUGAUUAAUGCUUACUGGAGAUCUUUUCAAUUCAGUUUUAAUCCUAUGGCAUGGUUUCCUUGUUUGCUCAAACUGUUUUGAGAACUUUUUGGUCUGCUCCACCUCAAAUAAAGAAUUGCUUGAUUUGAA